AAUUUCGACCUGAACUCAAGCGUGAGCACCCGCUGAACUUAAGCAUAUCAGUAAGCGGAGGAAAAGAAACUAACAAGGAUUCCCUUA
This 87-nucleotide ribosomal RNA is filed under the name Nacobbus sp. CZA 0022. RNAcentral describes it as "partial 28S ribosomal RNA". It matches the Rfam family "Eukaryotic large subunit ribosomal RNA", at positions 1 to 82 of the family's 3401-position model. Lineage: Eukaryota; Metazoa; Nematoda; Chromadorea; Rhabditida; Pratylenchidae. RNAcentral also lists the same sequence under 22 other names. The record is from RNAcentral.